This 494-nucleotide ribosomal RNA is filed under the name uncultured bacterium. RNAcentral's name for it is "partial 16S ribosomal RNA". It matches the Rfam family "Bacterial small subunit ribosomal RNA", at positions 28 to 506 of the family's 1533-position model. The record is from RNAcentral.
GAUGAACGCUGGCGGCGUGCCUAAUACAUGCAAGUAGAACGCUGAAGGAGGAGCUUGCUCUUCUGGAUGAGUUGCGAACGGGUGAGUAACGCGUAGGUAACCUGCCUGGUAGCGGGGGAUAACUAUUGGAAACGAUAGCUAAUACCGCAUGACAACAGUUAUUGCAUGAUAACUGUUUAAAAGGGGCAACUGCUCCACUACCAGAUGGACCUGCGUUGUAUUAGCUAGUUGGUGAGGUAACGGCUCACCAAGGCGACGAUACAUAGCCGACCUGAGAGGGUGAUCGGCCACCCGGGGACUGGAACACGGCCCAGACUCCUACGGGAGGCAGCAGGAGGGAAUUUUCGGCAAUGGACGGAAGUCUGACCGGGCAACGCCGCGGGAGUGAAGAAGGUUUUCGGAUCGUAAAGCUCUGUUGUAAGAGAAGAACGGGUGGGGGGGGGGAAAGUUCACACGGGGACGGAAUCUUACCAGAAAGGGACGGCUAACUACGU